UUUGUACAUGUUUUGGCACCUAACCUUCUAUAAACAAGGUUAGAAUUUGAAUUUACUGUCUGCCUAGUCUAUUGUUUAGCUCUCUCUUUCUUCACUUAUUUUUCUCUGCUUCUCUUUCCCCUCUGAUUAACUUUACUACUCUCAACCUUCUGAUUUCUUGCUACAUCCAUCCUUGAUGCUCCUUCUCUUACCUAUCUCCCACAAGUGCUCCCCUGUUAUUGCUCCAUUUUCUAACCAUUCCCCUUGGGUCUCCCCUCCCUUCUCUCCUCAUUCUCUGAUCUUUCUGUCCUCUCAUCUCAUUUCUAUUUCGCAGUCUCUUUUCUUCUGGGUCUCUAUGCUUGCUUCUCUGAGUCUGCCCCCAACCCUUUCUUUCUUCCUUCCUCCCUGGUCCUUUUUCAUUUCCCUGGCAUCUCUCUUGCUCUUGAUAUUCUGUGUCUUCUCUCUCUUUCUUUCCAAACCUCCAUGGAUUCUUUUCCCCUGCUCUCCCCAUUUCUGUAAUCCUCUCUCAGCCUUGCCAACUCUUGGAAUGACAGAGGCUCCAGCCCUCUACCUAAUUUGAGUCCUGUUGGCUGCCUGCCCUAUUUGCCUGCAUCCUGGGCCAGAAUAACUAAUUAGAGCUGCAGCAGGCAGACCUCUCCCCCUGUCCAAAGCAAUUCUCACAGGAGGACGGGGGUGAGGAGGGAAGCUAAACAGAGCAGCAGAUCAGGGUGGCUCUGCUCCCUCCCACUUCCUGUGAGCAAUGGAGACAGGAUGGACCCUCUGUCUGCGGCAUCAGGCCUGCUCUUUCCUCUCAGCUGCUUCUCUUCAAAAACUUUCCUACCCUCUCCUGGCUACCUGUUCCUCCUGCAGUUUAACCUAGGAAUUUUUAAACUGUUUAAGUCUUAGCCUUGCCAUGCUCGGAUUUAGCACUUCACAUCAUCAGAAGGGGAUACCUGGCCAACCAGAAUGUGGCUUUGGACAGUCAAUGCUUCCAGCAAGACUCUACACUGAUUAAACUGCUAGAAGAGGUCAACACUGCAGAGCAGUCGCAUACAUACAACUGAAAAAUAAACAGUCCUUUAAUGUU
Molecule: long non-coding RNA, 1066 nt
Organism: Malaclemys terrapin pileata
Lineage: Eukaryota; Metazoa; Chordata; Testudines; Emydidae
Exons: 2
Source: RefSeq, a predicted model, not a curated record